Molecule: ribosomal RNA, 497 nt
Filed under: uncultured bacterium
Lineage: Bacteria
Description: partial 16S ribosomal RNA
Rfam family: Bacterial small subunit ribosomal RNA
Source: RNAcentral
GAUGAACGCUGGCGGCGUGCCUAAUACAUGCAAGUCGAGCGAACAGACAAGGAGCUUGCUCCUCUGACGUUAUCGGCGGACGGGAGAGUAACACGUGGAUAACCUACCUAUAAGACUGGGAUAACUUCGGGAAACCGGAGCUAAUACCGGAUAAUAUAUUGAACCGCAUGGUUCAAUAGUGAAAGACGGUUUUGCUGUGACUUAUAGAUGGAUCCGCGCCGCAUUAGCUAGUGGGUAAGGUGACGGCUUACCAAGGCAACGAUGGGUAGCCGACCCGAGAGGGUGGUCCGCCACCCUGGAACUGAGACACGGUCCAGACUCCUACAGGAGGCAGCAGUAGGGACUCUUCCGCAAUGGGCGAGAGCUUGACGGAGCAACGCCGCGUGAGUGAUGAAGGUCUUCGGAUCGUAAAACUCUGUUAUUAGGGAAGAACAAAUGUGUAAGUAACUAUGCACGUAUUGACGGUACCUAAUCAGAAAGCCACGGCUAACUCCGUG